Molecule: non-coding RNA, 182 nt
Organism: Moellerella wisconsensis ATCC 35017
Lineage: Bacteria; Pseudomonadati; Pseudomonadota; Gammaproteobacteria; Enterobacterales; Morganellaceae
Rfam family: 6S / SsrS RNA
About the family: E. coli 6S RNA was the first non coding RNA to be sequenced, but its function was unknown until recently. It consists of 184 nucleotides that fold into an extended hairpin structure with a large single-stranded internal bulge.
Source: Rfam
AUCUCUCUGAGAUGUUCGUCAACGGGCGAGUCCCCUGAGCCGAUAUUUCGAAAGAAAAGAAUGUGGUUGAUGCGCUGGUGAGCAUGCCUGGAACGUUCAGGAAGCCUAAAGGUUGCGAUGCUGCGUUCACCUUGAACCAAGGGUUCAAGGGUUACAGCCUGUAACGGCAUCUUGGAGACCCA